UUGAAGAGGAGGGGCUUCCUCUGGUGGUAGCUAGUGAUACCAAACUCAAUUAAUUCAGCCGUUUUGCGAGCAACAAUGGACGACGAGUUGAUUUCUCUCGGUGCUCUAUACUUGUUGUGGAAGUCGCAGAAACGUCGGAGAGUCAAACACCGCCGUGCUUGGGUUAACAACACAAUUCAGAGGCGCACACAGCUUGGUGAAUUUCACGGGCUUCUCCAGGAACUGCGUCUGGAUGACGGCCGCUUCCAGCGCUACCUGACACUGAGCCGUUCCCAGUUUGAAGACCUGUUUACUCGAAUCGGUGCCAGGAUUUCCCGCAUGGACACCAACUACCGGCGGUCCGUCUCAGCUGCGGAGCGCCUUUCCAUCUGUCUCCGGUACUUUACCACAGGUGACUCAUUCAGGAGCAUCGCGGACAGUUUCUGUGUUGGGGUCUCCACCGUCUCCAUGAUUGUCCGUGAUGUUGCAACAGCAAUUUGGGACUGCCUCGUGGAUGAGUUUAUGGCUGUGCCCACCGCAAACGAGUGGCGGUCAAUUGCAGAGGCGUUUGAGGAGCGGUGGAAUUUUCCUCUCUGUUGUGGAGCACUGGAUGGGAAGCAUAUUGUCCUCAAAGCCCCUGGCAAGUCAGGAUUAAAGUUAAAAGGACCUUUCUCAUUGGUUCUCUUGGCAGUUGUGGAUGCUCAGUAUUGUUUCCGAGUGAUAGAUGUCAGGGGCUGCAGAAGAACCACUGAUGGUGGGGUUCUGGCCAACUCGGCUUUUGGUCAAGCGCUGCGCUCUGGCACCCUCCAAUUGCCUGCUGACCUGCCACUACCAGGAGCUGAUCACCGAGGACCCCAGCCACACAUCUUUGUUGCAGAUAAGGCUUUUCCACUCCAGAAAAAUCUCAUGAGACCAUUCCCAGGACGCAUCAUUCCAAAAGAGCACCGGAUCUUUAACUACCGUCUCUCCCGAGCUCGGCUGGUGGUGGAGAAUGCCUUUGGGGUUCUUUCUGCCCAGUGGAGGAUGUACAGACGUGACAUGGCGGCUCAUUACGAAGUUGCAGAGAAGUGUGUGAAGGCUACCUGUCUUCUCCAUAACUUCCUGCGGAAAACAACCCAGGCAUCUGCGGUGAGGGGAGGCAUCCAGUUUGAAGAGGUAGAACCACUGCCAGGUCUCGGAAGACUUGCCGCCAACAACUCAACAAGAGAGGCAAGAAGGGUCAGGGAGGCCUUCACAGCCUUCUUCUCGGCUGAGGGAACUGUCCCAUGGCAAGACGCAGGCAUUUAUGAUAAAGACACUCGCACCUACAAGUUGGAUGACUUGACGAAACUCAAAACUAGCGAGCUUAAGGCAGAGCUCCAGUGCCGUGGUCUGAACGUCAAUGGCCUGAAGCCGGACCUGGUUGAGCGGCUCUCGGCGGCACUGAACAAGGAAGCGCGGGCCAAGUCUUCUGGCCUAGGGACCGAGGAGCAGGGCGACAUGGAAGAAGGACAAAAAAUGCAAGUGCAGCAAGGCCGCUGUCACAGACUGUGUAUGAGCUACACACAGGAUUUCAGUAGGUCCUGUUCUGAUCACGUGACCAUAAUGAGCCAAUCAAACAGUUUGGAGGAGUGUUGCGUGUUGUUCCAAAGUUUGGAAAGAUAACACAAAAAAGUUUUUAAGAAUGAAUGGACGGAAGCCGCCUCAGCCGUUGAGUCUCAUGUUGGUUAUAUGCUCCACGGCUAUAAUGGAAAAAGGUAACUCGGAAGCCAGGACUCGAAAGAUAACCCAAUUGAGGCCAAUACAGCAGAGUUGCACGACUGAGAAGCCAACAAAGAGCAAAUAAAUGAUCGCGCUGGAUAGUGUGGAUUUGGGGGCAACGUAUACGAGCAUUUUGGGACAUUUCGGUCGUAACAGAAUGUGCAUAUGCAUUACUUGAAGGUGAUGUGCUGCUCAAGAAGGACGAAGACAGAGAUUCGGGUGGCUACUACAAGGAGGAGGAGACUGAGCCCGAAGCUGAAUGUAAGCCAUACGUGAGUCAGCCAGUGUCGUACUCUGGCCACAGCG
Phyllopteryx taeniolatus (common seadragon) is the source of this 2025-nucleotide RNA transcript. RefSeq lists it as uncharacterized. NCBI's taxonomy places the organism in Eukaryota, Metazoa, Chordata, Actinopteri, Syngnathiformes, Syngnathidae. The record is from RefSeq and is a predicted model, not a curated record. The transcript is spliced from 5 exons.